This is an RNA transcript of Salvia miltiorrhiza (redroot sage), 1546 nucleotides long. It is a transcript of the gene named coatomer subunit beta'-2-like, with no coding region annotated. NCBI's taxonomy places the organism in Eukaryota, Viridiplantae, Streptophyta, Magnoliopsida, Lamiales, Lamiaceae. The transcript has 8 exons. The record is from RefSeq and is a predicted model, not a curated record.
UGUCUCCCUCUUAAUCGCCACUUUUAGCCACUGCUGCGCCGGGAUACGCCGUCGACAUCUUGUUCGCCGCUUUCAGUCGCCAUUGUGCCUUCUACCGAAACCCUAUGCAUCGAUUUUGGUCAUCGUGCGGCUCUGCCACCAGAAUUCCCAAAUUACAAAGCCCUUCUACGGUUAGUGUUCUCGACGUUCCUAUCGAAAGCCACAUUUGAAGAAGCAUAGGUUUUAAUACAUUAUAGAAUACCUGUCUAGAGUUGAUGUCCGAUUGAUAUUGGAUUCGAAGGCUGCUUGUAUCAGAGGUUGUAGGCAUAUUUGUGUUAUGUUAGUUAAUUGUGGGGUUUAAUUAUGUUUUUGAACUAUGAUUUAUUGCCUAAGCUCUGCAGUUGGGGGAAAUGCACAUGAAGUGUUUGUGAAAUUGCUUGAAAUUGCACAUGUGUCGUACCAUAUUGAGAUUAGAGUGCCUAAAAAAGCAUUCAGUUAAAUUAACUAACCUGCAGGUGACUUUUCCCAUUUUUCUCUUUCCACAUUCCGUGCAUAAGAUGCCUCACCUUCGUAUCAUUUCGCAGACUUGAAAACACAUUGAAUUAUGGCCUUGAAAGAGUUUGGGCAGUUGGCUACAUUAAAGGUUCAAGAAGGGUCGUAAUCGGUUAUGAUGAAGGCACGAUCAUGGUAAAGCUUGGCCGUGAGGUACCUGUUGCUAGUAUGGACAAUGGAGGGAAAAUAAUUUGGGCCAAGCAUAAUGAAAUUCAGACUGUCAACAUCAAGAGUGUUGGGGCAGAUUAUGAGGUUGCUGAUGGAGAGAGAUUACCUUUGGCAGUUAAGGAACUGGGAAAUUGCGAUCUUUAUCCACAGAGCUUAAAGCAUAAUCCCAAUGGUAGGUUUGUUGUUGUAUGUGGAGAUGGUGAAUACAUAAUAUACACAGCUUUGGCAUGGAGAAACAGAUCAUUUGGCUCGGCAUUGGAAUUUGUUUGGUCAACCGAAGGAGAAUAUGCUGUUAGAGAAAGCACAUCAAAGAUUAAGAUUUUCUCCAAAAAUUUCCAGAUUGAGAGUGAAUCUGCUCCAAAUGCACGAACAGAACCAACAGCUGGCAAUAGCAAAUGCUCAAAUUCUUGUGGUGUUUAUAUGACAUCUAUAUAUGUAGUAGCUCUUUGAUUUCUCUGAAGUUCUUCUGUUGUAUUUUGUUGAUAUUUAUUUCUACACUGGAUUUCAGGAACUAAAUUCAGGUAAAGAUCGGUUGAAAAUGUUACAGCAUGCACUUCAGUGCAAAACUGGUCUUCUCAAAGCAAGAAAAAUGAAUCUUGAGGGAAGGGAAACGACAACAGCAUUUGGAGAUGCUGGUGCAGAGGUUGAGCUUGUGUGUCGGGUUCUCUCCUAAGUUAGUUGCUGCAAAUUCAUCAUAGCAGGUCAACUAGUUCAUGAGGACUUGGUGCUAGAACACAUAAUAUGAUAGAUUUUUGUUUUAGCUAUAAGAUAGUUGGUACAUUCAAUUUUAAAUCGAAAUAUGCAAUGAUCAUAUGUACUUGAUACUUGGUUCAUUUGGAUGGUAAUG